AUUAUAACCGAAGUCGAGUACUUCAAAAAGUAAU
The sequence is a regulatory RNA element, 34 nucleotides long. It matches the Rfam family "S16-Flavobacteria ribosomal protein leader". The record is from Rfam.